Molecule: ribosomal RNA, 301 nt
Filed under: uncultured bacterium
Lineage: Bacteria
Description: partial 16S ribosomal RNA
Rfam family: Bacterial small subunit ribosomal RNA
Source: RNAcentral
CAGUCGCCGCGGUAAUACGUAGGUGGCAAGCGUUGUCCGGAAUUAUUGGGCGUAAAGCGCGCGCAGGCGGAUCAGUCAGUCUGUCUUAAAAGUUCGGGGCUUAACCCCGUGAUGGGAUGGAAACUGCUGAUCUAGAGUAUCGGAGAGGAAAGUGGAAUUCCUAGUGUAGCGGUGAAAUGCGUAGAUAUUAGGAAGAACACCAGUGGCGAAGGCGACUUUCUGGACGAAAACUGACGCUGAGGCGCGAAAGCCAGGGGAGCGAACGGGAUUAGAUACCCCCGGUAGUCCCUGUCUCUUAUAC